Phascolarctos cinereus (koala) is the source of this 2004-nucleotide long non-coding RNA. Lineage: Eukaryota; Metazoa; Chordata; Mammalia; Diprotodontia; Phascolarctidae. The record is from Ensembl.
GGAAAUCCCACUUAGCCAAAGUGUGUCCAAAAACAUUGGGAUGUUGAUGAAUAUUUUGGAGAAAAUGGGGCAGGCUCAAGAAUUAUUUAGUUACACUUCCAUUUAUUUUAAUCCAAAAGAUUGGGAGAAUGUUUGCAAGACUUAAUUCUUUCUGUUCUUUCCAUAGUAACCACUCUUUUUAAUACCAUUUCAAAUGUUUAGUGUUUUAUAUCAUAAAAGGGAAGAAUGUUGCAAGAUCCUUCCAGGUCAUGUCUAAGGUAUUUUCUUAGAAGAGGCCUUAACAUUUUCAAGGGAAUUGGAAACCCUAAAGAAGCAUUAAUGAGCCAGCCGUACCAUCUUAUGAACGAAAAGGUGAAAAGAGUUCAAGAGAUCCUGAGUUUUGUUCCAAACAACUUUGUACCUGCAGUGAAAAAGUACUUAGGGGAUUAUUUUAAAAUGUCAACAAAGCCCUCAUGCAUGUCAUCUAAUUUUCAGUCUAGUACUUAUCUUUUAUUUUGUUUUCUAUAGGGGGUCCUAAAAGACUUAAGCAAUUUUAAACUGCAUUAUUAGUGCUCAAAUACAUUCUUUAAAAUGAAGUUUUCCUUUAAGAUGACAAAAAGUUAAUUUCACUUCUUUUUUUGGUAAAGUUUUCUUUUUUUUAAAAACACAUAUUUCUAACAUGUGUGCUGAUUUCUGGAAUAAUUGAGUCAGCAGAAUAGCACAAGGUCUGUUGUCAAUAACUGACAAAAAACAGUGGCUUCAGAUGGCCUGACUCAACAGCUGGAACAGCUCUGAACAUAAACCUUUAACCUCCAGUUCUGCUGAAAGAUUCAAAGAGACUUUUGGAAUGGAGUCUUACUUGGAGAGAAAAAAUUAUGGGCCAAAGCAAGAAUCCUGGACAAUGGUAAAGUAGAUGGUUCUUUUCUUGAUCCAGUUCUGCUUAGAACAUACAUCUGAAAAUAUGUUUAAGUCAAGUAGAAAUAGUUGUUGGGUGUGAACAUGCACUGGAUCCAAUCAACAGGGAUUUAUUAAGUGCCUGCCAUACGCCUGGUGCUGUGUUACAUGAUACAAAGAUAAAAAUGAAACAGCCCCUUCCCUCCAGGAGGAUCUUGCAUUCUAAUGGGGGACCUGCAUGCUCUUGUAUAGGUAUAUGCAAAUCAUAUAAGGAGAAGAUACAAGGUGACCUUGGAGGGAAGGCACUGAUAGCUAGAGGGACUGGGAAAGGCCUGCUGCUGAAGGUAGUGCUUGAGUUCAGGACUGCGUUUGAUAUUUGAUCCUGGAGGGAACAUCCUUUGGCCCAGAGGCUAGUGCAGGGAAACAUUGAUCUGCAAGUCAUUUGCAUAAAGAGCACAAUUAAACCAUGGGCCUGACCAGGUUGCCAAGUGACAGAGUAUAGGGAGAAAAGAAAAGAGGGCCCAGGCCAGAGUCUUGGGGUAUGUGGAGAGCUAGGGAUCUUCUCCAAAGAUGUUAUCAGAAUUAAUUAUUCCAUUUAUCCAUAUUUAUAAAGGGCAUUGAAAUUCACAUAAGAGAAUAGUAGGAGUCCACAAUGGUAUGGUGGAGAGCACGGAAUUUGGUGCUGACGUCCUGUCUUUGGCAUUUUAUUACCUGUGUGACCUAAGCAAGUCACAUCUCUGGGUCUCAGUUUCUCCAUCUGUAGAAUGAAUAGGUUGAACUAAAUGACCUGUAAGGUCUCUUUCAGAUCUAAAUCCAUGAUUCUAAGCUGAAAAAAACAGAAGCAAUUCACAAAAAGUCCGUAACUCCUUCAGUAGCUCUUGAAGUAGAGGCUCUCAUGUAACACACAGGGUACAAUUUGGGAGAUUUCUCACAUCUUUGAUUUGUUGCCUCCACCCAGAAAAUGUGGGAGCUUAAACUACAUGAAACCACCUAAUACAGUACUUCCAACUCCCCUUGCAAGCAUGCAGUUAAAAAAACUCAAGGAAAAAAAAAUUUCAAGUUACAAACACAAUGCCUGGCACAUAGUAGGUGCUUAAUAAAUGUUUUUUUUUUAUGAUUGAUUGAAAAUAA